GAACCUUCGGGUUAGUGGCGGACGGGUGAGUAACGCGUGAGAAUCUGCCCUCAGGAGGGGGAUAACGGCUGGAAACGGCCGCUAAUACCCCAUAUGCCGAGAGGUGAAAUGAAAUUCGCCUGAGGAUGAGCUCGCGUCUGAUUAGCUAGUUGGUAGGGUAAAGGCCUACCAAGGCGACGAUCAGUAGCUGGUCUGAGAGGAUGAUCAGCCACACUGGGACUGAGACACGGCCCAGACUCCUACGGGAGGCAGCAGUGGGGAAUUUUCCGCAAUGGGCGAAAGCCUGACGGAGCAACGCCGCGUGAGGGAUGAAGGCCUCUGGGCUGUAAACCUCUUUUAUCAAGGAAGAAGAUCUGACGGUACUUGAUGAAUAAGCCACGGCUAAUUCCGUGCCAGCAGCCGCGGUAAUACGGGAGUGGCAAGCGUUAUCCGGAAUUAUUGGGCGUAAAGCGUCCGCAGGCGGUCUUACAAGUCUGUCGUAAAGCGUGGAGCCUAACUCCAUUUCAGCGAUGGAAACUGUAAGACUAGAGUGUGGUAGGGGCAGAGGGAAUUCCCGGUGUAGCGGUGAAAUGCGUAGAUAUCGGGAAGAACACCAGUGGCGAAGGCGCUCUGCUGGGCCAUAACUGACGCUCAUGGACGAAAGCCAGGGGAGCGAAAGGGAUUAGAUACCCCUGUAGUCCUGGCCGUAAACGAUGAACACUAGGUGUCGGGGGAAUCGACCCCCUCGGUGUCGUAGCCAACGCGUUAAGUGUUCCGCCUGGGGAGUACGCACGCAAGUGUGAAACUCAAAGGAAUUGACGGGGGCCCGCACAAGCGGUGGAGUAUGUGGUUUAAUUCGAUGCAACGCGAAGAACCUUACCAGGGUUUGACAUCCUGCGAAUCCCUUGGAAACGAGGGAGUGCCUUCGGGAACGCAGUGACAGGUGGUGCAUGGCUGUCGUCAGCUCGUGUCGUGAGAUGUUGGGUUAAGUCCCGCAACGAGCGCAACCCACGUCUUUAGUUGCCAGCAUUUAGUUGGGCACUCUAGAGAGACUGCCGGUGAUAAACCGGAGGAAGGUGUGGAUGACGUCAAGUCAUCAUGCCCCUUACAUCCUGGGCUACACACGUACUACAAUGCUACGGACAAAGGGCAGCAAACUCGCGAGAGCUAGCCAAUCCCAUAAACCGUGGCUCAGUUCAGAUCGUAGGCUGCAACUCGCCUACGUGAAGGAGGAAUCGCUAGUAAUCGCAGGUCAGCAUACUGCGGUGAAUACGUUCCCGGGCCUUGUACACACCGCCCGUCACACCAUGGAAGUUGGCCACGCCCGAAGUCGUUACUCCAACCCUUGUGGAGGAGGAUGCCGAAGGUGGGGCUGAUGACUGGGGUGAAGUCGUAACAAGGUAGCCGUACCGGAAGGUGC
This 1399-nucleotide ribosomal RNA is filed under the name uncultured Cyanobium sp. RNAcentral describes it as "bacterial SSU rRNA". It matches the Rfam family "Bacterial small subunit ribosomal RNA". The record is from RNAcentral. Lineage: Bacteria; Bacillati; Cyanobacteriota; Cyanophyceae; Synechococcales; Prochlorococcaceae.